RNAcentral lists this unclassified non-coding RNA (597 nucleotides) under Hevea brasiliensis (rubber tree). Lineage: Eukaryota; Viridiplantae; Streptophyta; Magnoliopsida; Malpighiales; Euphorbiaceae. The record is from RNAcentral.
AAUUGAUUUAAUUUAAUUCUUUUUACUACGGUUUUUCCUAGAUGAAACAACAGUCCAUCCGUCUUCUCCUUGAGCCUCCUGGCUACCAUCAUCAACCUGCAUGUUUACUUGAUUUGCCCGUCAUCGUUCUCACUGUCCACAUAUUCAUCGUCAUCGUCGUCGUCGUCGUCGUCGUCCACAUCUUCUUCUUCUUCUUCUUCUUCAUCACUAUCAUCAUCUGCAGCCUUUCUGAUAUGUUGAUGAGCUCCAGUUCUAGGACCUGCUUGCCUCAACUUUUCAAUAUAGUUAUAGUUACCUUCCAAACACUCUUCAUGCAUGAUCAUUAAUUUUUCUGCAACCUCUUCAACGCUGCCAUCCUCAAUCAUGGUAUUGAGAGAAAGCAUGCCUUCAUCCAGGAUAUUUUCUAAAUCAUCAAUAUAUAAAGGCUCCUUGGAUUGAGUGAACCAGGAGAAGAUAUCGGAACCAAGCUGGUCAGCUAAUUGUCCCAGAGCCACGGCCACCCCACUCAUUCUCAACGGCUAAUUGCAGAGCCGACCAUCUGGAGAGGAUAAGAAACAUUCCUUCUUGGAAUAUAGGCAGCGACUCAGCUGAUAGCUG